CUCUACCAGAACCUUUGCACGAUGUGCCAGAAGGCCCACAGCCACAUGCUGCAGUUGCAGGCACAGCUCGCAGCUCCUCAGUCCAGAAGCAAUCAGAAGAUCAAAUUUCCCCCAGAUGUCAGAACCAGUCUGGCUUGCGUGUGAAAGACAAGUUAUACACAUCCCAGUCUCGCUCAUUAGAAUUUAGCCUAAGGUGAAGUGAGUUUCAGUUAAGUGGAUGAUCUCUCGUGGAUGAAGACUUCUGGCAUCCAAAGCUGUGUAGCCCUUCUGAACAUCAACUGCUAAUUGCCUUCAGCCUGUAAGAAUC
Gallus gallus (chicken) is the source of this 307-nucleotide long non-coding RNA. NCBI's taxonomy places the organism in Eukaryota, Metazoa, Chordata, Aves, Galliformes, Phasianidae. The record is from Ensembl.